This 253-nucleotide ribosomal RNA is filed under the name uncultured bacterium. RNAcentral's name for it is "partial 16S ribosomal RNA". It matches the Rfam family "Bacterial small subunit ribosomal RNA", at positions 524 to 776 of the family's 1533-position model. The record is from RNAcentral.
UACGAAGGUUGCAAGCGUUACUCGGAAUUACUAGGCGUAAAGGGCAGGUAGGUGGUUUUGUAAGUCUGUUGUGAAAGCUCCUGGCUUAACUGGGAGAGGUCAAUAGAUACUGCAGAACUUGAGUAUAGGAGAGGUUACUGGAAUUCCCGGUGUAGCGGUGAAAUGCGCAGAGAUCGGGAGGAACACCAAUGGCGAAAGCAGGUAACUGGACUAUUACUGACGCUAAGCUGCGAAAGCUAGGGGAGCAAACAGG